UUUUUAGACGGAAUGAAAUAACACUUUCAACUUUCCAAGACUUGUGAUCUCCUAAUAAACAUCACAAAAUCUGUGAAAAUCAGAUUUUCGAUAUAUCCAGACUAGUUAAACUUCCUUUAACAAAAAAAUAGAAUAGUUACUUUUCCAUCAAUCCAUUUUCCAUGUAGAAUAAUACUGUUGAUACUUCAUUCAUAUAUCCAAUUCUUUUGGAUAAAUAAGUUUAUUAACCCAGUCAAGCUUGAAGCUUUAAUCCCAUGUUGAUGAUAUUAAUAUGAUUGCUAGCUAUAUUGAUUAUGUACUGAUAGGACAUUAUCCAAAAUGUAGAUAAAAAUCCCAUCUAUGACCUAACCAUUCAUACUCUUCAUCUAAAUUGUCUAGCAAAUUGAGAUAAAUGACGAUUGAUGAGCUACACAAUUGCUUCAUGGAAAACAAGCGUCACAUGAACUUCUACUUCCCGAUUAGGAUAGCUUCAGAUAUUUCCCAAUAGGGCCAAUUACAUAUAAGUCCACUUUGAGACAUUUUUUCCCACAUAAAUCCACCCCAACAUUUUGACCCACAUAAGUUCACCCAAGUCUAAAUAAGGUUUUAUAUUAAGUAUUAAAGUUCAACAUACAGACUGCCAUCCAACAAAAAAAAUUAGAUUUUCUCCAUUAUAUUUACAAGAAUACCACUAGAAUAAAAAGUCAACAAUCACUCUCAUUUCGGAACAGUCUCCGGCGGACCUCCGGCGAGAUUUCCAGCGGACCUCCGUCGAGGUUUCCGGCGAGAUUUCCGACCAACCUUCCGUGAGGUUUCCGGCCGAUCUCCGAUGAUGACAAAAAUUACUACUACCAGCUAUUAAAGCUACUACCACCAGCUACAAAAGCUACUACCACCGCCUACAAAAGCUACUACUGUGAGGUUACCCAUGAACACAAAAGCUACUACCACCAGCCACAAAAGCUACUACCACCGCUUACAAAAUCUACUACUGUGAGGUUUUCGACAAACACAAAAACUACUACCAUCAGUCACAAAAGCUACUACCACCAGCUACAAAAGCUACUACCACCGCCUACAAAAUCUACUACUGUGAGAUUUCCGACGAACACAAAAAAUACUACCACCAGCCACAAAAGCUACUAGCACCGCCUACAAAAGCUACUACCACCGCCUACAAAAGCUACUACUGUGAGGUUUUCACGAACACAAAAACUACUACCAUCNNN
RNAcentral lists this long non-coding RNA (1208 nucleotides) under Fragaria vesca (wild strawberry). RNAcentral's name for it is "long non-coding RNA (FVES_LNC001630)". Lineage: Eukaryota; Viridiplantae; Streptophyta; Magnoliopsida; Rosales; Rosaceae. The record is from RNAcentral.